This 287-nucleotide long non-coding RNA is filed under the name Elaeis guineensis (African oil palm). Its description in RNAcentral is "long non-coding RNA (EGUI_LNC066997)". Lineage: Eukaryota; Viridiplantae; Streptophyta; Magnoliopsida; Arecales; Arecaceae. The record is from RNAcentral.
CAGUAUAGAUCGACCUGUAUAAAGGUAUGGAGAUCAGAUCUUCAAUUUUUAUAGAUGUCAUCUUAGAUUAGAUUUUAGAUACAUGUUCUUGUUAAUAUCAUAGAUCCGUUGUAGGUGGUUUAUAGAUUAGGUCUGAUGCAUGCUAGAUUAAAAAUUAUUUUUGAUCUAGAUUUAAUUUUUUGCUGCUCAAAUAAAAGUUUAAAAAUAUAUGCAUGAAACCACCCAAACCAACAAGUGAGACAUAUGGUGAUCUCCAUUCUUAAUAUUAUUGAAACUCUUUUCAAUGA